Molecule: RNase P RNA, 393 nt
Filed under: Bacillus sp. (in: firmicutes)
Lineage: Bacteria; Bacillati; Bacillota; Bacilli; Caryophanales; Bacillaceae
Also listed under: 1 other name
Description: Bacillus sp. (in: Bacteria) RNase P RNA component class B
Rfam family: Bacterial RNase P class B
About the family: Ribonuclease P (RNase P) is a ubiquitous endoribonuclease, found in archaea, bacteria and eukarya as well as chloroplasts and mitochondria.
Source: RNAcentral
ACGUUCGGGUAAUUGCGGCAACACUUUAGUUGCUGAGGAAAGUCCAUGCUCGCACGGUGCUGAGAUGCCCGUAGUGUUUGUGCCUAGCGAAUACAUAAGCUAGGGCAGUUUGAUUAUUCAAACUGACGGCAGGGAAAAUACCUAAGUCACUGUUUUGUGAUAUGGUAUGAGUACUUUGAAAGUGCCACAGUGACGGAGCUUUAUGAGAAAUCAUAAAGGUGGAACGAGGUAAACCCCACAAGCGAGCAACUCAAAUUAUGGUAGAGGCAUUCUUUCUGAGGAAAUGAACGAGGAAAGAGACAAGUGUAUACUUGUAGAUAGAUGAUUACCGCCCGCGUACGAGAUGCAACCACAUCGUUUGUAGUACAAAGGUACAGAACAUGGCUUAUAGAA